CCUACGGGAGGCAGCAGUGGGGAAUAUUGCACAAUGGGGGAAACCCUGAUGCAGCGACGCCGCGUGAGUGAAGAAGUAUUUCGGUAUGUAAAGCUCUAUCAGCAGGGAAGAACAUGUCGGUAACUGAUUAAGAAGACCCGGCUAACUACGGGCCAGCAGCCGCGGUAAUACGUAGGGGGCAAGCGUUCUCCGGAUUUUCUGGGGGUAAAGGGAGCGUAGAGGGCAGCACAAGUCCUGAGUGAAAUGCCUGGGCUUAACCCCGGGACUGCUUUGGAAACUGGGCAGCUAGAGUGCAGGAGAGGUAAGUGGAAUUCCUAGUGUAGCGGUGAAAUGCGUAGAUAUUAGGAGGAACACCAGUGGCGAAGGCGGCUUACUGGACUGAAACUGACGUUGAGGCUCGAAAGCGUGGGGAGCAAACAGGAUUAGAUACCCCAGUAGUC
Molecule: ribosomal RNA, 440 nt
Filed under: uncultured bacterium
Lineage: Bacteria
Description: partial 16S ribosomal RNA
Rfam family: Bacterial small subunit ribosomal RNA
Source: RNAcentral